RNAcentral lists this small RNA (83 nucleotides) under Candidatus Pelagibacter sp. HIMB1321. RNAcentral describes it as "rhtB sRNA". It matches the Rfam family "rhtB sRNA". The record is from RNAcentral. Lineage: Bacteria; Pseudomonadati; Pseudomonadota; Alphaproteobacteria; Candidatus Pelagibacterales; Candidatus Pelagibacteraceae.
AUUUGCUAUAUUGAUUUAGAUAGUCCUUCUUAGCCAUCUUUAGCUCCCGGUUUUUAAGGACUAUCCAAAUAAUGCUUCCUUUA